CAUACCUAUUCGAAGGGAUAGGGUCGGUUUGGCCGGAUUUCACACAGGUGUUGCAUGGCUGUCGUCAGCUCGUGUCGUGAGAUGUUGGGUUAAGUCCCGCAACGAGCGCAACCCUCAUCCUUAGUUACCAUCAGGUUAUGCUGGGGACUUUAAGGAAACUGCCAGUGAUAAACUGGAGGAAGGUGGGGAUGAUGUCAAGUCAUCAUGGCCCUUAUGGAGUGGGCUACACACGUGCUACAAUGGUGAUUACAAUGGGCUGCAAGGUCGCAAGGCUGAGCUAAUCCCAAAAAAUCAUCUCAGUUCGGAUUGGUCUCUGCAACUCGAGAGCAUGAAGUUGGAAUCGCUAGUAAUCGUGGAUCAGCAUGCCACGGUGAAUACGUUCUCGGGUCUUGUACACACUGCCCGUCACGCCAUGGGAAUUGGUUUCACUCGAAGCU
RNAcentral lists this ribosomal RNA (437 nucleotides) under Wolbachia pipientis. RNAcentral describes it as "bacterial SSU rRNA". It matches the Rfam family "Bacterial small subunit ribosomal RNA", at positions 992 to 1428 of the family's 1533-position model. The record is from RNAcentral. Lineage: Bacteria; Pseudomonadati; Pseudomonadota; Alphaproteobacteria; Rickettsiales; Anaplasmataceae.